UGGCAUAUCUCAAACUUUGCAAAAUUAUAAUGGCAUGGUUCCAAAUUACCCUUUUUU
This 57-nucleotide small RNA is filed under the name Oryza sativa Japonica Group (Japanese rice). Its description in RNAcentral is "sRNA Os12g0460600". Lineage: Eukaryota; Viridiplantae; Streptophyta; Magnoliopsida; Poales; Poaceae. The record is from RNAcentral.